RNAcentral lists this long non-coding RNA (755 nucleotides) under Olea europaea subsp. europaea. Lineage: Eukaryota; Viridiplantae; Streptophyta; Magnoliopsida; Lamiales; Oleaceae. The record is from RNAcentral.
GAAAAUGGUUGAUAUAUUCAAAAAGUUUGGAUAAAGUAUUUUGCUUUUGUUGUAAGCUAUUUAAGAAUGAUGGGAUCAGAACCCAAUUGUCACAUGAUGGAGUAAAUGAUUGGAAAAAUGUUGGUGAAAAACUUAAAAUGCAUGAAGCAAGUUGUGACCACAUCAAUAACAUGAAUAAAUGGAUAGAAAUGAAAUUAAGAUUUGAAAACACUGAGACAAUUGACAAAAGUGUGCAAGAACAAAUCAAUAGAGAUAGAGAACAUUGGAGACAAGUAUUAUUGAGAAUAAUAUCUGUGGUGAAAACUCUUGCUGAGAAUAAUUUAGCAUUUCGUGGGGACAACGAGAAGAUAUAUCAAGAAAAUAAUGGUAUCUUUUUAAGCAUAAUUCAAAUGAUUGCUGAGUUCGACCCCGUAAUGCAAGAGCAUAUUCGUCGAAUAAAAAGUAAAGAGAUUCAUUAUCAUUAUCUAGGACACAAAAUUCAGAAUGAGUUGAUACUUAUGUUAGCGGGCGAAAUAAAAAAAAUAAUCAUUGAGAAACUCAAAAUUUCUAAAUACUUUUCUGUUAUACUUGAUUGCACUCCAGAUACAAGCCACGAAGAACAAAUGUCAAUGAUAUUGAGGUGUGUAGAUAUUUCGACAAGUCCAGUGAAGGUUGAAGAAUUCUUUUUAGGGUUUUUAUUAGUUGAUGAUACAUCAGGUAAGGGGCUUUUUGAGGAAUUGGUGGAUGCUUUGAAUAAUCUAGAACUUGAUAUUGAU